GGCUGAUUUCAAAACACUGCUUCAUGAAGAUUCGGAGCACAAUGAAUCAGCGUGUCGAAUCCGCAGUUCGGAGCGCCAAAGUCACGUGAUUUCAGCAGUUUGGUGGUUUGACACGCUGAUUCAUCACGCUCCUAAUCUUCCUGAAGCAGUGUUUUGAAAUCGGCCAUCACUAAAUAAGUCGUUUUUUUUUUUUUGGCGCACCAAAAAUAUUCUCUUCGCUUUAUAAUAUUAAUAUUGAACCACUGUACUCACAUGAACUGAUUUAAUAUGUUUUUAGUACCUUUAUGGAUCUUGAGAGAGGAAAUGUCAUUGCUCCCUAUGUAGGCCUCACGGAGCCAUCGGAUUUAAACAAAAAUGUCUUAAUUUGUGUUCCGAAGAUCAACGAAGAUCUUACGGGUGUAAAACGGCACGAGGGUGAGUAAUUAAUGACAGAAUUUUCAUUUUUGGGUGAACUAACCCUUUAAGAGAACGAUAACAAGGUGGCCAUGGACACUUUAUUCCCUUGGAAUUAUAAGGUUCUGUCUGCGUUCUGAGCGGUUUUGAGAUAUUGAGCUUCAAAGUUUUUGCAUUCCAUAUAGCAAAAACUAUAUGGGGAACAAGUUUCUUUCAAACAUGAAAAUGACAGGGACAGUAAAUGUAUUCUAAAUGUACAAUAUCAAAAUCCUCUCAAAUUUGUAAAUGGGGAUUUUUGGAACGGGUCAAAUGCAGAUAGAACCUUUUAAUUCUAAAAAAAAAAAAAAAACACUUUUCGCUUGGAAUUAUAAGGUUCUAUCUGGUAAAAAAUUAAUUGAAGCAAUAAUUUUCAAGAAACACAAACAGUUUGCUUAUAAUUUCCUUUAAAACAAAAUUAGUGUUGUAACAAUGUGUUGACAUGCAUGAGAAAGUUUAAUUUAAUAGUUUUUAUGACAUUUAUUUUUUUAUAUUUUAAAUGAAUAUUUAUAUAUGGGUAAUUUAACACAUUAUUGCAGGAACCAUUUAAGUAUAAGUUUCCUUUUGUUUAGACAGAAAGCAGCAAUAUUGUAAAAUUUAAGACAUUUUAAGACUAAAAAACUGCAAGAAAACAGACAAUGCUUCAGCAAAGGUGUUUAACAAAGUUUAAUAAACAUUGAAAAAUGUUUCACUGACUAUAUAUAAUUAAAAAUAUUUCACAUUUAAAAUAUUUAAAUUACUUCAACUAUGCAACAACUCAGUUUUUGCCAACAAUCUAAAAUUUAACAUUUCAUCUCACUUAAUCUAGUAUACACUUUAAUCCAGUUUGCCAUAGCGCAGAGCUUUAUAUCUACAUACAGCUCAAUUCAAGUACACAGGAUGGAUCAAGGUUAAAACAUAACCUAAUAUGUACAUAACUUUCCCUCGUAUGACGUGACUGGAAAUAAGUAAAUAGACUACAAAACCCGGACCUAUCCUUUUAAUAGCGCUGCUGGCGAAUGUUAGCAUGGUGUCUAACUGAAAAUAACUCCCUAACAAAAGAUACAGCAAAACACACAAAAAGACUGUAAUUCCCUGGAAUUUGGGCCGCUGUCAUUGUCAAGAUCAUAAAUAAAAUAGUCGAUCAUGAGCUUUCUAAUAAACAUCGCGUUGUGUGAAAUUAUUUAGUCUUCACCGAUUUAGCGUUUUCGUGCGCUCUCUUCCGCUAUUGUGGCGACAUGACAAAGAACGCUGAUCCUGAUUGGUCCUUGUGUGUGCAUUCAAAGUGCUGAUUGGCUCACACAGAUAAAACCUUAUAGAGCCAAGUUAAAGUGCGACUUUGUAGACAGAACCUUUUUGUUUUCUAAAAAAAGUACCAAAACUUAAAAAAAGAAACAUCACAUAAUGUAAAUAAGUUGUCACAGAAUAUGAAUAUGUGAAUAACUCAAUUUUGACAAAAAUGUCAGAUAGAACCUUCUAAUUCCAAGGGGACGACUUGUUCAUUUCUUUUUGGAAUCUUGUCCUGUACGCUCGUCCGCUGACUCGUAAAUAAUAACAAAUUAUUUUAUUUAUUUAUUUUUUUCGGGGCAAAUGGAGAGCAGUUUCUGGCUCAGUGGGCCUGGGGACAUGUCUUAUGUUGAAGUGGACUGGUCAACAUUUGUUUCUGUUGUUUGCGCACACCUACAUUCUCGUGUACAUGAUUAUGCAUCGCGAUGGAUUGGUAUCUAGCAUACAUCUUUAUCAUGAGGUACUUUUCUCCACAUGUUUUGGGAAUGUCCAGUUGUUGUUAUGGACUCAUGUGAAUUCUGUUUUGUCCUUUUUACUACAAAUUGAUUACGUCUCUAAUCCAGGUUUAUGUCUUCUCAAUGACGAUUCUAACUGCUGUAUGAGUUCAUUAAAGAAGAGAAUGUUGUUUGCUGGUUUUACAGCGGCAAAGAAGACAAUAAUACAGAACUGGUUUACUCCGAUGAAAAUGAUCUGAAAUUGACAUUUGACAUUUGAACUCCAGUGAAGUCCACUAUAUGGAGAAAAAUCCUGGAAUGUUUUCCUCAAAAACCUUAAUUUCUUUUCGACUGAAGAAAGAAAAACGGAUGACAUGGGGUGGCCUUCAAGAUCACAGAUCUGAAUCCAACAGAAAACCUUUGGUACAAUAAGAGAUCUGCAGAUAUUAUGGGAUUCAAUCAUGUCAACAUGGAGCAGAAUCCAGAAACCAUCUUGGAAACCUUUUAUCACGCCUUCAUCAUUAGUUUUUACUGCUUUGCCAAUGUGUUUUUAUCUUAUAUCUUAGAUUUUUUACACUCUUGUCCCAGACUCAAACGUUCAGUCUAAGCCUGUGAAAAUCCAUCAAAGAUAUCCUAAUAUUACUACAUAUUAAAUCUAUGAUGACCUAAAUAAACAAAGAGUGAAAUAAACUGAAACAAUUAUUUAAAAAUGAUGACCAUAUAGUUACAGCAUCAUUUCCAACUGUUUAAGAGACAAUAGUGUCAGUAGAGAUGACUGAGAUUAAAUAUGAGACAUGUGAUGUAUGUGGAAAACAAAGAGAAAUAAACAUAAAUAUCAGUUAUGAAUGCAAUAUUUGUACUGACUAUGAUCUUGAUGAAAAAUGAGGCUUAUUGCAGAAUUAAGAGUGAUUAACAAUAAAACAUCUAAACUAAAUCU
Molecule: long non-coding RNA, 3066 nt
Organism: Ctenopharyngodon idella (grass carp)
Lineage: Eukaryota; Metazoa; Chordata; Actinopteri; Cypriniformes; Xenocyprididae
Exons: 3
Source: RefSeq, a predicted model, not a curated record